GGGUUGUGAGGUUAAGCGACUAAGCGUACACGGUGGAUGCCCUGGCAGUCAGAGGCGAUGAAGGACGUGCUAAUCUGCGAUAAGCGUCGGUAAGGUGAUAUGAACCGUUAUAACCGGCGAUUUCCGAAUGGGGAAACCCAGUGUGAUUCGUCACACUAUCAUUAACUGAAUCCAUAGGUUAAUGAGGCGAACCGGGGGAACUGAAACAUCUAAGUACCCCGAGGAAAAGAAAUCAACCGAGAUUCCCCCAGUAGCGGCGAGCGAACGGGGAGGAGCCCAGAGCCUGAAUCAGUGUGUGUGUUAGUGGAAGCGUCUGGAAAGGCGCGCGAUACAGGGUGACAGCCCCGUACACAAAAAUGCACAUAUUGUGAGCUCGAUGAGUAGGGCGGGACACGUGGUAUCCUGUCUGAAUAUGGGGGGACCAUCCUCCAAGGCUAAAUACUCCUGACUGACCGAUAGUGAACCAGUACCGUGAGGGAAAGGCGAAAAGAACCCCGGCGAGGGGAGUGAAAAAGAACCUGAAACCGUGUACGUACAAGCAGUGGGAGCACGCUUAGGCGUGUGACUGCGUACCUUUUGUAUAAUGGGUCAGCGACUUAUAUUCUGUAGCAAGGUUAACCGAAUAGGGGAGCCGAAGGGAAACCGAGUCUUAACUGGGCGUUAAGUUGCAGGGUAUAGACCCGAAACCCGGUGAUCUAGCCAUGGGCAGGUUGAAGGUUGGGUAACACUAACUGGAGGACCGAACCGACUAAUGUUGAAAAAUUAGCGGAUGACUUGUGGCUGGGGGUGAAAGGCCAAUCAAACCGGGAGAUAGCUGGUUCUCCCCGAAAGCUAUUUAGGUAGCGCCUCGUGAAUUCAUCUCCGGGGGUAGAGCACUGUUUCGGCAAGGGGGUCAUCCCGACUUACCAACCCGAUGCAAACUGCGAAUACCGGAGAAUGUUAUCACGGGAGACACACGGCGGGUGCUAACGUCCGUCGUGAAGAGGGAAACAACCCAGACCGCCAGCUAAGGUCCCAAAGUCAUGGUUAAGUGGGAAACGAUGUGGGAAGGCCCAGACAGCCAGGAUGUUGGCUUAGAAGCAGCCAUCAUUUAAAGAAAGCGUAAUAGCUCACUGGUCGAGUCGGCCUGCGCGGAAGAUGUAACGGGGCUAAACCAUGCACCGAAGCUGCGGCAGCGACGCUUAUGCGUUGUUGGGUAGGGGAGCGUUCUGUAAGCCUGCGAAGGUGUGCUGUGAGGCAUGCUGGAGGUAUCAGAAGUGCGAAUGCUGACAUAAGUAACGAUAAAGCGGGUGAAAAGCCCGCUCGCCGGAAGACCAAGGGUUCCUGUCCAACGUUAAUCGGGGCAGGGUGAGUCGACCCCUAAGGCGAGGCCGAAAGGCGUAGUCGAUGGGAAACAGGUUAAUAUUCCUGUACUUGGUGUUACUGCGAAGGGGGGACGGAGAAGGCUAUGUUGGCCGGGCGACGGUUGUCCCGGUUUAAGCGUGUAGGCUGGUUUUCCAGGCAAAUCCGGAAAAUCAAGGCUGAGGCGUGAUGACGAGGCACUACGGUGCUGAAGCAACAAAUGCCCUGCUUCCAGGAAAAGCCUCUAAGCAUCAGGUAACAUCAAAUCGUACCCCAAACCGACACAGGUGGUCAGGUAGAGAAUACCAAGGCGCUUGAGAGAACUCGGGUGAAGGAACUAGGCAAAAUGGUGCCGUAACUUCGGGAGAAGGCACGCUGAUAUGUAGGUGAGGUCCCUCGCGGAUGGAGCUGAAAUCAGUCGAAGAUACCAGCUGGCUGCAACUGUUUAUUAAAAACACAGCACUGUGCAAACACGAAAGUGGACGUAUACGGUGUGACGCCUGCCCGGUGCCGGAAGGUUAAUUGAUGGGGUUAGCCGCAAGGCGAAGCUCUUGAUCGAAGCCCCGGUAAACGGCGGCCGUAACUAUAACGGUCCUAAGGUAGCGAAAUUCCUUGUCGGGUAAGUUCCGACCUGCACGAAUGGCGUAAUGAUGGCCAGGCUGUCUCCACCCGAGACUCAGUGAAAUUGAACUCGCUGUGAAGAUGCAGUGUACCCGCGGCAAGACGGAAAGACCCCGUGAACCUUUACUAUAGCUUGACACUGAACAUUGAGCCUUGAUGUGUAGGAUAGGUGGGAGGCUUAGAAGUGUGGACGCCAGUCUGCAUGGAGCCGACCUUGAAAUACCACCCUUUAAUGUUUGAUGUUCUAACGUUGACCCGUAAUCCGGGUUGCGGACAGUGUCUGGUGGGUAGUUUGACUGGGGCGGUCUCCUCCUAAAGAGUAACGGAGGAGCACGAAGGUUGGCUAAUCCUGGUCGGACAUCAGGAGGUUAGUGCAAUGGCAUAAGCCAGCUUGACUGCGAGCGUGACGGCGCGAGCAGGUGCGAAAGCAGGUCAUAGUGAUCCGGUGGUUCUGAAUGGAAGGGCCAUCGCUCAACGGAUAAAAGGUACUCCGGGGAUAACAGGCUGAUACCGCCCAAGAGUUCAUAUCGACGGCGGUGUUUGGCACCUCGAUGUCGGCUCAUCACAUCCUGGGGCUGAAGUAGGUCCCAAGGGUAUGGCUGUUCGCCAUUUAAAGUGGUACGCGAGCUGGGUUUAGAACGUCGUGAGACAGUUCGGUCCCUAUCUGCCGUGGGCGCUGGAGAACUGAGGGGGGCUGCUCCUAGUACGAGAGGACCGGAGUGGACGCAUCACUGGUGUUCGGGUUGUCAUGCCAAUGGCACUGCCCGGUAGCUAAAUGCGGAAGAGAUAAGUGCUGAAAGCAUCUAAGCACGAAACUUGCCCCGAGAUGAGUUCUCCCUGACUCCUUGAGAGUCCUGAAGGAACGUUGAAGACGACGACGUUGAUAGGCCGGGUGUGUAAGCGCAGCGAUGCGUUGAGCUAACCGGUACUAAUGAACCGUGAGGCUUAACCUUACAACGCCGAAGCUGUU
This 2932-nucleotide ribosomal RNA is filed under the name Escherichia coli. Its description in RNAcentral is "23S ribosomal RNA". It matches the Rfam family "Bacterial large subunit ribosomal RNA". The record is from RNAcentral. Lineage: Bacteria; Pseudomonadati; Pseudomonadota; Gammaproteobacteria; Enterobacterales; Enterobacteriaceae.